CGGUUAACGGUAGGGGUUAGGAUGUGGGGUGGUUGUGACGUCCCAAGGAUCCCAAUUAGCACGGACCCUGUUCUAAAAGAUUUGUCUUCCUUUUCUACCGCAUUAACCAAUCAGCUGACUGUUUGCAGAGGCGGGGUAAUCGCCGAUAGCGGCGUUCCAUUAGAUAGCACAGCCACAAACUCAGAAUUGGCCAAAUCGUAAAAAUGAAUUAAACAUUUAGUAAAAUUGUAUUUAAGGUGAGGCAUAAGGUAGUGUGGUAAGUUUAGAGUUAAGAAUAGAGUUAGGUUUAAAAUCACAUUUUAAGCAGAUAAAUUGUAGAAAUAGGCUAGGUUUAUUACUUUGUGGCUGUGGUAACUAGUGACGACCCUGAUAUCGUCAAUUUGUUGUGCUCACCACUUGUGUAAACAACCGUUACAAUCUGUUUAACAGUAGCUGCCUAUCUUCUGUUAAAUUGCAACGAAACCGUUUAUCAGGUGACAUACAGUUUACGUUAUCUUUAUCAGCAUACGACGGCACAGCUAGCCAGCUCACCAAGGAUUUCUAGGCUAGUUUUGUGUACUUUUGAUAACCGUAGACCUGUAUCAUAUAUCCUUUUUUAUCAUCGUGGUAGCGCUACGUUCAUCCACGAGCGCCUUUGUAUGUCAAGUGAGUAAGGGGCUUUGGUCAACUGAUGUCCACUCGUGAUUCUGCGAGGGUUCGAUCACUGGGAAAAGGAUACAACUUGCAUCAACAAGCUGACAGAAGGCCUGACCGAGAAUCCUCUAUUCUGCAAGCUCCUGGUAACGCUGUCACAGCAUGUGGACCGCCUCAGCCUUACUGUUACACUGAAGAGAGAGCUGGAGAAGGCUGAGAGGGACCUGCAGACAGAGGUUUAAUGGGCUGUGUUCAGAGAGGCUGUACAGGCUACUGCAGGAGAUGAUCCAGGAGCACUGUGUCAGAAAGCAUCACUCCACUGUGCCUCCAGAGGACGACACUGUAUAAUACAGAACAGUACUCAUUGCUCAUUGCUGAAUGGACUCUACUAUAUAUAACUCUAGACUGCUCUAUUCUCGUUGUGUGUCUGGCAGAGCAACACACAGUACACUUAGUACCAUAAUCCCUCUUUAAGGUUACACCUAUUAAUGCACAAAUAAUGUCUAUAGGCCUAGAUACAAGUAGAUCAUUGGGGAAGUAGUUUAACCACCCAAGUGAAUUUGAUUUCCGAAAGGUUACUUUUUGUUUACAUUGAUCAUCCAAAGUACUGUAUAAUGUUAGAAUAAACCUAAAUCUUGUUUCCCCCUGGCAGUUUUAUGAGACUGUGGAGCAGUGUCUGGUGGUGGCCUAGUGUGUCAGGUAGUUGGACCCUAGUGACACCACCAGCCAGGACCAACCUCCUGUCCUAGGACUGAGUCUCCAACAGGUGCUGUAGCUGAUGCCACAAGAGGAGAGGGUGAGAGUGAAAGGCUGAAGAACAUGAAGCUGUCUCGCUUGUCUGGCCUUCUGGAAAGUGAAAGGAAAAGAGCAGAGAGUCUGAAGGGGAAGAGCCGUGAGUGCCGCCCUGCUGCAAAAGCAGACUCCCUGCUACCUCUCUGUAAGAGACUCUCAACACUUGGUUUGAUGUAUUCUUAGGUUUGUCUCACGUGUUGCGACCUUCACUCACGAUCAACGUGUUUUCUCCAGGAGCUGUUAGGAUGCAUUCAGAUUCUCCAGUCACUUAUCCUUGACCACAGGCUAAAAGCCCAGAAAUAACUUGACAGGAAACAGUUUGAGUACUUUGAGGCCAAAUGUGAGAUCAUCAUGCAGAAGAUCAGGUGUGAUUAGCCCCUCCUGUUUACAUCUACUCUACACUGGGCUCCUUCAGAUGCAGUUGACUGUUAAUGAGUGUGAGAAAUUGGUAUUUCAUGCAUGUCCAUCAGCAAUGUUCCGUUUUCGUGUAUCUUUUACAUUUCUUAAAUAUGUCUCUUCACAACAGAGGAGAUAUGUUGGAAAUUCAGCUGGACACCUACACAGCAGACACAAUGUCAGCCUAUAGAAUAACAAGGUGAGUCAAAUGCUGCCCAGCAACUCAAUGUCAUUAUCAUAUCAACCACUCUGGGGGCUCUCAACACCUACUCGUCAUUCCCACUCAUGUUGUUCUUUUUGGCAGCUUUGUUCAUCUACUAUGCCUUUCCUUGCCUAAACAUCAGACUGUUACCAUGGUUACUACAUGAAUAUCAGUCUAAAAGAAGUCGCUGUAAAAAAGACUCAUUAGUCUUUACAAGGUAGAAUAUUAAAUAAAAUUAUAUUUACACUUACUUUACCGGUUGUACAUGCUGUCGGUCCUUUUGGCGGUAGGUGGAGAUAGGGUAUCCACAGGAAAGCGCUGUUUACCAGACUUUUUGCGGUGCCAAUAGGUUCUGUCACUUGUAUUUUCAAUCUGUUGACACAUUGCACUUGAUGACCGAAGCACAUUUCCUGGCAAUCAACUGUUAGUGUUUGCCAUUUGUUUAGGCUCGCCAAUAUUGUGCAAGUCUUUGUCACGUGCAAAUUGUAACAGGAAUGAAAAUGAAAACCGGAAAUACAAACUAUAUACAGACAUAGCCGUGGAAAGUAGUUUGGGGGUGCAGUGAUUUAUUAAAUGUUUUAUGCCAAGGGGGGAAAGAUGAAUUGCCCCCACUGAAGAAGUCUGUAUCGAUCCACUAAUACAGGCUAGUAAAGGCCCAGUGCACUACUUUUGUCAAACUGUUUUAACUAAAUGUAUUUGAGUGUUUUCCAGCAUUUGUAACUGAUAAUUAUCUGUACAAAAGUUAAUCUGCUAAUAAAAAUACUUGCUUUAUA
Oncorhynchus kisutch (coho salmon) is the source of this 2796-nucleotide long non-coding RNA. RefSeq lists it as uncharacterized. The record is from RefSeq and is a predicted model, not a curated record. Lineage: Eukaryota; Metazoa; Chordata; Actinopteri; Salmoniformes; Salmonidae. The transcript has 4 exons.